This 265-nucleotide ribosomal RNA is filed under the name uncultured bacterium. RNAcentral describes it as "partial 16S ribosomal RNA". It matches the Rfam family "Bacterial small subunit ribosomal RNA", at positions 524 to 789 of the family's 1533-position model. The record is from RNAcentral.
UACAGAGGUCCCAAGCGUUGUUCGGAUUCACUGGGCGUAAAGCGCACGUAGGCGGCUUUGUAAGUUAGAGGUGAAAGCCCGGGGCUCAACCCCGGAACUGCCUUUAAUACUGGCAAUCUCGAGUCCGAGAGAGGUGAGUGGAAUUCCUAGUGUAGAGGUGAAAUUCGUAGAUAUUAGGAAGAACACCAGUGGCGAAGGCGGCUCACUGGCUCGGUACUGACGCUGAGGCGCGAAAGCGUGGGAGCAAACAGGAUUGAGAAACCCG